CCUACGGGAGGCAGCAGCAGGGAAUUUUUCGCAAUGGGGGAAACCCUGACGAAGCGAUACUACGUGAAGGAAGAAGGUCUAUGAUUGUAAACUUCUGUCAGCGCAGAAGCCAUGCGCUUAGAAAGUCACGACUAACUACGUGCCAGCAGUCGCGGCAAUACGUAGGUGGCGAAUGUUAUCCGGAAUUAUUGGGCGUAAAGAAUGCGUAGAUUGUUUAAUAAGUCAUUGGUAGAAGUCAGGCUCAACCUGAAAGAAGCUGGUGAUACUGUUAGACUAGAGUGCAGGAGAGGUUGAUGGAAUUCCAUGUGGAGCGGUGAAAUGCUUAGAUAUAUGGAGGAACACCAAUAGCGAAGGCAGUCAACUAUUCUGAACUGACAUUGAAGCAUGAAAGCGUGGGGAGCAAAAAGGAUUAGAUACCCUUGUAGUC
Molecule: ribosomal RNA, 427 nt
Filed under: uncultured bacterium
Lineage: Bacteria
Description: partial 16S ribosomal RNA
Rfam family: Bacterial small subunit ribosomal RNA
Source: RNAcentral